GCUCGGUGAGAAGAUAGCUCAGUCGGUAGAGCGUGGGAUUCUGCAUCUCGGGGUCGUGGGUUCGAGCCCCACGUUGGGCA
Zootoca vivipara (common lizard) is the source of this 80-nucleotide non-coding RNA. The record is from the annotation of a RefSeq genome assembly. Lineage: Eukaryota; Metazoa; Chordata; Lepidosauria; Squamata; Lacertidae.